Molecule: ribosomal RNA, 497 nt
Filed under: uncultured bacterium
Lineage: Bacteria
Description: partial 16S ribosomal RNA
Rfam family: Bacterial small subunit ribosomal RNA
Source: RNAcentral
GAUGAACGCUGGCGGCGUGCCUAAUACAUGCAAGUCGAGCGAACAGACGAGGAGCUUGCUCCUCUGACGUUAGCGGCGGACGGGUGAGUAACACGUGGAUAACCUACCUAUAAGACUGGGAUAACUUCGGGAAACCGGAGCUAAUACCGGAUAAUAUAUUGAACCGCAUGGUUCAAUAGUGAAAGACGGUUUUGCUGUCACUUAUAGAUGGAUCCGCGCCGCAUUAGCUAGUUGGUAAGGUAACGGCUUACCAAGGCGACGAUGCGUAGCCGACCUGAGAGGGUGAUCGGCCACACUGGAACUGAGACACGGUCCAGACUCCUACAGGAGGCAGCAGUAGGGAAUCUUCCGCAAAGGGCGAAAGCCUGACGGAGCAACGCCGCGUGAGUGAUGAAGGUCUUCGGAUCGUAAAACUCUGUUAUUAGGGAAGAACAAAUGUGUAAGUAACUAUGCACGUCUUGACGGUACCUAAUCAGAAAGCCACGGCUAACUACGUG